Molecule: ribosomal RNA, 447 nt
Filed under: uncultured bacterium
Lineage: Bacteria
Description: partial 16S ribosomal RNA
Rfam family: Bacterial small subunit ribosomal RNA
Source: RNAcentral
AACGAACGCUGGCGGCAGGCUUAACACAUGCAAGUCGAGCGCCCCGCAAGGGGAGCGGCAGACGGGUGAGUAACACGUGGGAACAUACCCAUCUCUGCGGAACAACUCCGGGAAACUGGAGCUAAUACCGCAUACGCCCUUCGGGGGAAAGAUUUAUCGGAGAUGGAUUGGCCCGCGUUGGAUUAGCUAGUUGGUGGGGUAAAGGCCUACCAAGGCGACGAUCCAUAGCUGGUCUGAGAGGAUGAUCAGCCACAUUGGGACUGAGACACGGCCCAAACUCCUACGGGAGGCAGCAGUGGGGAAUAUUGGACAAUGGGCGCAAGCCUGAUCCAGCCAUGCCGCGUGAGUGAUGAAGGCCUUAGGGUUGUAAAGCUCUUUCACCGAUGAAGAUAAUGACGGUAGUCGGAGAAGAAGCCCCGGCUAACUUCGUGCCAGCCGCCGCAGUAA